This is a small nuclear RNA of 202 nucleotides. Its record names the gene U2. It matches the Rfam family "U2 spliceosomal RNA". From Rfam's summary of the family: U2 is a small nuclear RNA (snRNA) component of the spliceosome (involved in pre-mRNA splicing). The record is from Ensembl.
AUCAUGUCUCAGCCUUUUGGCUAAGAUCAAGUGUAGUAUCUAUUGUUAGCAGUAGUAGUUGAUGCAGUGGGUACUGUUAUUACUCGGUUUUGUAAAUGAGGAAUUGGAAGCAGAGAGGUAAACACAUAGCUGGCAGUCAAAAAAACUAGCAAGGGGUCUAAUGCAAAUUCACCAAACACUUCACCUUUAGAUACUAGGCUCU